GCUGGGCACAGUGGCGCAUGCCUAUAAUACCAGCUGCUUGGGAGGCUGAGGCAGGAGGAUUACGGGUUCAAAGCCAGCCUCAACAACUAAACAACUCAGUUGGACCCUGCCUCUA
RNAcentral lists this small RNA (115 nucleotides) under Marmota monax (woodchuck). The record is from RNAcentral. Lineage: Eukaryota; Metazoa; Chordata; Mammalia; Rodentia; Sciuridae.